GAUUGUAUUGCGGGCUGGAACCUCUCGGGGUUAAGCCUUGCUGAAUUAUUCACCCUUGUCUUUUGCGUACUUCUUGUUUCCUUGGUGGGUUCGCCCACCACUAGGACAAACAUAAACCUUUUGUAAUUGCAAUCAGCGUCAGUAACAAAUUAAUAAUUACAACUUUCAACAACGGAUCUCUUGGUUCUGGCAUCGAUGAAGAACGCAGCGAAAUGCGAUAAGUAGUGUGAAUUGCAGAAUUCGGUGAAUCAUCGAAUCUUUGAACACUCAUUGGGCCCUUUGGUAUUCCAAAGGGCAUGCCUGUUCUAGCGUCAUUUGUACCCUCAAGCUUUGCUUGGGGUUGGGCGCCUUGUCUCUAGCUUUGCUGGAGACUCGCCUUAAAGUAAUUGGCACCCGGCCUACUGGUUUCGGAGCGCAGCACAAGUCGCACUCUCUAUCAGCAAAGGUCUAGCAUCCAUUAAGCCUUUUUUCAACUUUUGACCUCGGAUCAGGUAGGGAUACCCGCUGAACUUAACCAUAUCAAAAACGGAAGGAAUGACCUCAAAUCAGGUAGGACCUACCCGCUGAACUUAAGCAUAUCAAUAAGCGGGAGGGAAA
This 597-nucleotide ribosomal RNA is filed under the name Alternaria brassicae. RNAcentral describes it as "eukaryotic LSU rRNA". The stretch from base 161 to 314 matches the Rfam family "5.8S ribosomal RNA". The record is from RNAcentral. Lineage: Eukaryota; Fungi; Ascomycota; Dothideomycetes; Pleosporales; Pleosporaceae.